RNAcentral lists this ribosomal RNA (485 nucleotides) under uncultured bacterium. RNAcentral describes it as "partial 16S ribosomal RNA". It matches the Rfam family "Bacterial small subunit ribosomal RNA", at positions 29 to 523 of the family's 1533-position model. The record is from RNAcentral.
AGUGAACGCUGGCGGCGUGCUUAACACAUGCAAGUCGAACGAGAACGGAAUAUAGCUUGCUAUAUUUGUCAGCUAAGUGGCGCACGGGUGAGUAAUGUAUAGAUAACCUGCCCUUAAGAAAGGAAUAACAGUUGGAAACGACUGCUAAUGCCCUAUAUGCCUUUAAUACAUAAGUAUGCAAGGGAAACGCUUUAGUGCUUAAGGAUGGGUCUGUAUGGUAUCAGCUUGUUGGUGAGGUAAUGGCUCACCAAGGCUAUGACGCCUAACUGGUUUGAGAGGAUGAUCAGUCACACUGGAACUGAGACACGGUCCAGACUCCUACGGGAGGCAGCAGUGGGGAAUAUUGCACAAUGGACGAAAGUCUGAUGCAGCAACGCCGCGUGGAGGAUGACACAUUUCGGUGCGUAAACUCCUUUUAUAUAGGAAGAUAAUGACAGUACUAUAUGAAUAAGCACCGGCUAACUCCGUGCCAGCAGCCGCCGUAA